Long non-coding RNA from Chenopodium quinoa (quinoa), 751 nucleotides. RefSeq lists it as uncharacterized. The record is from RefSeq and is a predicted model, not a curated record. Lineage: Eukaryota; Viridiplantae; Streptophyta; Magnoliopsida; Caryophyllales; Amaranthaceae. The transcript is spliced from 3 exons.
GUUUGACUACUUAUGUUCAACUUAUUGGCUGACUUUAAACUUUUGGAUAAUUAUUGCUCUGUUAAUUUUCAACCCCUAACUUAUCUUAUCUGCCUUUUUUCCCCUCUCCUCUUUGCCAAAAUCCUCUUCCUCAUCAACAAAUGAUGCUUUGAAGGCAUUCCUAUUGAGGUCAGCUUCCAGCAACUCCUCCUUGUCUGCCUCUGGGAAGGCUUCUGACCAACCCAAGCGAACACUAGUAUCAAGUGCUGAGAUGGAAGCUAUACUGUUGGGUGGCUGCAUUUAAUCUCACUGAGUCAAUGGCUAUUUCUCACAAUAACAUUUUGGUGAAAAAAUUGGUAGAUUGGAUUUCUUAUAAGAUAUUGUUGCUGCUGUUUCAACCUCAGUAAAGAUUAAAGAAGAGGCAGCAUAGAUCACAAAUCUGGCAACUAUCUGGUUUAUAUCCCUCUUCUUAUCCAUCUUUUCAACGGGUAUAUUGGAGAUGAGGUGGAGUGGUGUGGGCAUAGACGAAUGGUGGAGAAACGAGCAAUUCUGGGUGAUCGGUGGUGUUUCUGCCCCUUUGUUUUGCAGUGUGUCAAGGUCUGCUAUCUAGCAGGUAUCGACGCCAAUUUCACAGUGACCUCCAAGGCCUCAAAUGAAGACGGUGAUUAUAAGAGCUAUACAUGUUUAAGUAAACAACCCUGCUUAUCCCACCCACAACCCUUCUGAUCAUAAACUUGGUAGGAGUAGUUGUAGGCAUCUCAAACGCAAUUGA